RNAcentral lists this transfer RNA (74 nucleotides) under Syrmaticus ellioti (Elliot's pheasant). RNAcentral describes it as "tRNA-Thr". Lineage: Eukaryota; Metazoa; Chordata; Aves; Galliformes; Phasianidae. The record is from RNAcentral.
ACUCUAAUAGUUUAUGAAAAGACAUGUGGUCUUGUAAACCAAAAAGCUGAAGACCCCACCUCUUCUUAGAGUAG